RNAcentral lists this ribosomal RNA (253 nucleotides) under uncultured bacterium. RNAcentral describes it as "partial 16S ribosomal RNA". It matches the Rfam family "Bacterial small subunit ribosomal RNA", at positions 1239 to 1500 of the family's 1533-position model. The record is from RNAcentral.
ACAGCGGGAAGCCACCUGGCGACAGGGCGCGGAACCCGAAACCCCGUCUCAGUUCGGAUUGGAGUCUGCAACUCGACUUCGUGAAGCUGGAUUCGCUAGUAAUCGCGCAUCAGCCAUGGCGCGGUGAAUACGUUCCCGGGCCUUGUACACACCGCCCGUCAAGCCAUGAAAGCCGGGGGUACCUGAAGUACGUAACCGCAAGGAUCGUCCUAGGGUAAAACUGGUGACUGGGGCUAAGUCGUAACAAGGUACC